ACCAUCAGGUCAAUUCAACAAGCAUUUCUCAAGGGUGUGCCAUAUGUAAAGCACUGACUUUGGUGUAGUGAGGACAGAAAAAGACUGGGCCAAACCUUCAGGAGUCACGGCAUAAAAGGGUUGAUGUACAAAACUCUAAUAAGGGGCAGACUGACUUCUUUACAUACACAAACUCAAGUUUCCGGGAUGUGUGGUGUUUCCCAGUUACAUUGAUUAUCAAGUAAGCUAUUGAGAAGCAACCAGGGAUGUUUUUAAAAUGAUGAAAAAUAAAGAAAAACAGUCCAGUGCCAUUAGUAAGACACAGAAGGUGGUUUUGGGAGAAGUGCUAGAAUCCAGUACAUUUUGACCAACACGUGUUAAAUGACCGAUGUAUGACAGGCUUUAUGUUAAGGGUUGAGGGCUCAGAGAUAAAUAAGACAUGAUUUUGGCCUCAGUAGCUUGAAGUCCAGCUGGGGAGGCAGCCGAGGAAACAGAUAAUUAUAGACCUGCACUGUCCUCACACAUCCUGCACUUGGGUGACCGCUGGAUGCUAAGGAGCAGAGAUGAGGACGUCACACUCAGGGUGAUUUUGAUUAAACAUUAAAGAACAAGCACUAUGAAGAGGCUUUUACUUUUUUAUUUUUUUUUAAGUCAGUGAAUGAAAUGCUGUGAUUCCUCUGGCAGCCCUUUAGAGGUAGGAAUAUAGUUUUGGAAUUUUGAGAUUUUUGUUAAGGACUUCAGCUCCUGAACAGUGGGCAGGGCAGACCUAGACGAUGUCUCCUGUGAACUCUUCUUCCUCCGUUUCUCUUUUCAUCGUCUUUCUCUUUCAUCAGCGAGGAUGGAAGCAACAGUAAUGAGGACCCAUUCUCCUUGUCAACACCCCCGCCACACAGACCACCCACCCCGGGGUGGGAGAAGAUUUUAAGCUUUGUGAGAGGGGGCCCAAAGAUGACGUCUGAUUAAGGGCUGCUUCACUGGGCCCCAAGGAAAAGAAUAUGGUGUGUAUAUUCAAACUGCUUUUGGUUUGGGAUCUAGACCCACAGAGGUGGUUCUCUGUUCCUGGGAAUGACCCAGCCUUGCCUUUCCUUUCCACCUGACACCACUGGAGCUGCACACACAUUGUUUUCAGAACAAGAGUGACAGAGGCAAUGACCUGGGGCAUAAGUUGCCAAUUUCUCCCCUCUUGGCUAGAGAGGAACCCCCCCCCAACAACAACUGGGUCCAUCUUGUCAGGAGCCUCCCCAUCGUAAUCCUCCUCCUCAAGUUGUUGAGAGUGACAGAAGCAGCGCUGUGUUUUAUGUGUGCUGUCUAUUGUGGCUCUUACAAGGUUGUGGCUGCAGAGGGGCAGUAGCUAAAUUGGGGAGGGUAAUCUUUUCUACCAGGUAAGACUGGUUUGCACUAGAUUUAUAUGAGAACUGAGUGGAAGGAAAAAUGGAGUAAUAGAGAAGAUUUUUCAUUUUAAAAGACUAUUUAAGGAGGAAAAUUCCCAUUGUGGCUCAGUGGUUAACGAAUCCGACUAGGAACCAUGAGGUUGCGGGUUUGAUCCCUGCCCUUGCUCAGUGGGUUAAGGAUCUGGCAUUGCCAUGAGCUAUGGUGCAGGUUGCAGACGUGGCCCGGAUCCCACGUUGCUGUGGCUCUGGUGUAGGCCAGCAGCUACAGCUUCGAUUCAACCCCUAGCCUGGGAACCUCCAUAUGCCUCAGGUGCGGUCCUAAAAAAGGCAAAAAGACAAAAAAAAAUAAUAAUAAAAUAAAAAAAAAUAAAAGGUGCCUUUUAUCUUAUUUGUGGGUGAAAUAAAUGUCAUGUUGUCUGUAAUUCAUUUCAGAAUAGUUCUGUAAAAAUUAGGAGGCAAGUCUGGCACCAAAUCAUAAUUAUUAAAUUUAGGUUGUGAGUAUAUGGGGAUAAUUAUUUUUUGUACUCUUUGAUAUGGGUUGAAACAUUUUAUAACAAAACAUUAAAAGAAUGAAGAGUAAAGGCUCUGGAGCCAGACCUCAUGGGUCUGAAUCCUGGUAUGUGAUCUGACCUCUUUGUGCCAUUUCUCUUCCUUGAAAUGGGACGGUUGAUAAAGGAACCUGCUGCAUGGGAUUGUGUGAAGGCUGAGUCGUAUAACACAUAAAAUACUUAGAUCCAGGUCCUGUAUAUAGAUACUCAAUAUACUGUUAUCAUUGAAAAUAAGCCAUCUCGGAGUUCCUGUUGUGGCUCAGUGGUUAACGAAUCCUACUAGGUAACUUGAGGUUGCGGGUUUGAUUCCCUGGCCUUGCUCAGUGGGUUAAUGAUCUGGUGUUGCCAUGAACUGUGGUGUAGGUCGAAGACGCAGCUUGGAUCUGGUGUUGCUGUGGCUGUGGUGUAGGCCGGCAGCUACAGCUCCAAUUAGACCCCUAGCCUGGGAACCUCCAUGUGCCACGAGUGCGACCCUAG
RNAcentral lists this long non-coding RNA (2395 nucleotides) under Sus scrofa (pig). RNAcentral describes it as "lncRNA (ENSSSCG00040058137.1)". Lineage: Eukaryota; Metazoa; Chordata; Mammalia; Artiodactyla; Suidae. The record is from RNAcentral.